RNAcentral lists this ribosomal RNA (529 nucleotides) under uncultured bacterium. Its description in RNAcentral is "bacterial SSU rRNA". It matches the Rfam family "Bacterial small subunit ribosomal RNA", at positions 9 to 528 of the family's 1533-position model. The record is from RNAcentral.
GAGUUUGAUCCUGGCUCAGGAUGAACGCUAGCUACAGGCUUAACACAUGCAAGUCGAGGGGCAGCAUGAACUUAGCUUGCUAAGUUUGAUGGCGACCGGCGCACGGGUGAGUAACACGUAUCCAACCUGCCGAUGACUCGGGGAUAGCCUUUCGAAAGAAAGAUUAAUACCCGAUGGCAUAGUUCUUCCGCAUGGUAGAACUAUUAAAGAACUUCGGUCAUCGAUGGGGAUGCGUUCCAUUAGGUUGUUGGCGGGGUAACGGCCCACCAAGCCUUCGAUGGAUAGGGGUUCUGAGAGGAAGGCCCCCCACAUUGGAACUGAGACACGGUCCAAACUCCUACGGGAGGCAGCAGUGAGGAAUAUUGGUCAAUGGACGAGAGUCUGAACCAGCCAAGUAGCGUGAAGGAUGACUGCUCUAUGGGUUGUAAACUUCUUUUAUACGGGAAUAAAGUGAGGCACGUGUGCCUUUUUGUAUGUACCGUAUGAAUAAGGAUCGGCUAACUCCGUGCCAGCAGCCGCGGUAAUACGG